GACGAACGCUGGCGGCGUGCUUAACACAUGCAGGUCGAACGGAAAGGCCCUGCUUUUGUGGGGUGCUCGAGUGGCGAACGGGUGAGUAACACGUGAGUAACCUGCCCUUGACUUUGGGAUAACUUCAGGAAACUGGGGCUAAUACCGGAUAGGAGCUCCUGCUGCUUGGUGGGGGUGGGAAAGUUUCGGCGGUUGGGGAUGGACUCGCGGCUUAUCAGCUUGUUGGUGGGGUAGUGGCUUACCAAGGCUUUGACGGGUAGCCGGCCUGAGAGGGUGACCGGCCACAUUGGGACUGAGAUACGGCCCAGACUCCUACGGGAGGCAGCAGUGGGGAAUAUUGCACAAUGGGCGGAAGCCUGAUGCAGCAACGCCGCGUGCGGGAUGACGGCCUUCGGGUUGUAAACCGCUUUCGCCUGUGACGAAGCGUGAGUGACGGUAAUGGGUAAAGAAGCACCGGCUAACUACGUG
This 468-nucleotide ribosomal RNA is filed under the name uncultured bacterium. RNAcentral's name for it is "partial 16S ribosomal RNA". It matches the Rfam family "Bacterial small subunit ribosomal RNA", at positions 28 to 507 of the family's 1533-position model. The record is from RNAcentral.